GCGGGAAUGGCGGAAUAGGGAGACGCACUAGACUUAGGAUCUAGCACCAAAAAUGGUUUUGCGAGUUCAAGUCUCGCUUCCCGCA
Molecule: transfer RNA, 85 nt
Filed under: Candidatus Riesia pediculicola
Lineage: Bacteria; Pseudomonadati; Pseudomonadota; Gammaproteobacteria; Enterobacterales; Enterobacteriaceae
Also listed under: 1 other name
Description: tRNA-Leu
Rfam family: tRNA
About the family: Transfer RNA (tRNA) molecules are approximately 80 nucleotides in length. Their secondary structure includes four short double-helical elements and three loops (D, anti-codon, and T loops).
Source: RNAcentral